This 718-nucleotide ribosomal RNA is filed under the name uncultured archaeon. Its description in RNAcentral is "bacterial SSU rRNA". It matches the Rfam family "Archaeal small subunit ribosomal RNA", at positions 85 to 796 of the family's 1478-position model. The record is from RNAcentral.
ACGGCUCAGUAACACGUGGAUAACCUGCCCUUGGGUCUGGGAUAACCCCGGGAAACUGGGGAUAAUACCGGAUAACGCAUAUAUGCUGGAAUGCUUUAUGCGUAAAAUGGAUUCGUCUGCCCAAGGAUGGGUCUGCGGCCUAUCAGGUAGUAGUGGGUGUAAUGUACCUACUAGCCUACAACGGGUGCGGGUUGUGAGAGCAAGAGCCCGGAGAUGGAUUCUGAGACAUGAAUCCAGGCCCUACGGGGCGCAGCAGGCGCGAAAACUUUACAAUGCGGGAAACCGUGAUAAGGGGACACCGAGUGCCAGCAUCAUAUGCUGGCUGUCCAGAUGUGUAAAAUACAUCUGUUAGCAAGGGCCGGGCAAGACCGGUGCCAGCCGCCGCGGUAACACCGGCGGCCCGAGUGGUGAUCGUGAUUAUUGGGUCUAAAGGGUCCGUAGCCGGUUUGGUCAGUCCUCCGGGAAAUCUGAUGGCUCAACCAUUAGGCUUUCGGGGGAUACUGCCAGGCUUGGAACCGGGAGAGGUAAGAGGUACUACAGGGGUAGGAGUGAAAUCUUGUAAUCCCUGUGAGACCACCUGUGGGCGAAGGCGUCUUACCAGAACGGGUUCGACGGUGAGGGACGAAAGCUGGGGGGCACGAACCGGAUUAGAUACCCGGGGUAGUCCCAGCCGUAAACGAUGCUCGCUAGGGUGUCAGGCAUUGGCGCGACCGUGUCU